GACGAACCGUGCGAACGUUAUUCGGAAUCACUGGGCUUAAAGCGCGUGUAGGCGGACGGGGACGUCGGUCGCUGAAAUCCCCCGGCUCAACCGGGGAACGGGCGCCGAAACGCCCCGUCUCGAGGGACGUAGGGGGACCUGGAACUUCCGGUGGAGCGGUGAAAUGCGUUGAGAUCGGAAGGAACGCCCGUGGCGAAAGCGAGGUCCUGGACGUCUACUGACGCUGAGACGCGAAAGCUAGGGAGCGAAC
This 250-nucleotide ribosomal RNA is filed under the name uncultured bacterium. RNAcentral's name for it is "partial 16S ribosomal RNA". It matches the Rfam family "Bacterial small subunit ribosomal RNA", at positions 524 to 773 of the family's 1533-position model. The record is from RNAcentral.